GCUUUGCGGCUGGAUCCCCUCCUUUCUAAGGAUUGCUUGUCGACAGCGCUGGGCUUCGCCCAUCCGCUUCUUCAAGCGCUUAGAAUCCAAAAGAGCUCUGCGGAUCUCACCGCGGAGCCAAAAUGGCGGAUCGCCGCCGUCUUCGUUUCUCUUUCCAAGUCCGCCCGCAUGACGGCACCGGUCGUCAUGCGUGCUGCAACGGCCCGCGCGGCUUUGUCGCGCAGGCGUCGGCGCGCGGUGUUUCGGGCCUGUAGCUCAGGUGGUUAGAGCGCACGCCUGAUAAGCGUGAGGUCGGUAGUUCGAGUCUACCCAGGCCCACCAUCGCUUCGCUGCAGGCGUCGUUUCAAAAGAUUGGGGCCAUAGCUCAGCUGGGAGAGCACCUGCUUUGCAAGCAGGGGGUCGUCGGUUCGAUCCCGACUGGCUCCACCAGAGCUUUGCAGCACAGAAGGCGGAUGAGAUGACAAGUUUUCCGGUUCGGGCUGCGGUCUGAGACGGAGAAGGACUUUGACAUUGUGAACGGAGGAUGCGUCCGCUUGGCCAAGCACAGGCCCAGGGCGCAUCGUAGAGACAUCCUGACUGACGGGCUCGGCGCGGUUGUUUCGCCAGGUCUGGAAUUUCGGUUCCAGAUGGGCGGAGCGUUCACCGUGCAUGAGCAUCGUUGAGAUCAAGCGUCAAAAGGGCGUUUGGUGGAUGCCUUGGCGAUAAGAGGCGAUGAAGGACGUGGCACGCUGCGUUAAGUCUCGGGGAGCUGCGAGCAGGCUUUGAUCCGAGAAUUUCCGAAUGGGGAAACCCGGAAGC
Molecule: unclassified non-coding RNA, 798 nt
Filed under: uncultured bacterium
Lineage: Bacteria
Description: partial contains 16S ribosomal RNA, 16S-23S ribosomal RNA intergenic spacer, and 23S ribosomal RNA
Rfam family: Bacterial large subunit ribosomal RNA (bases 663-798)
Source: RNAcentral